RNAcentral lists this unclassified non-coding RNA (379 nucleotides) under uncultured fungus. Its description in RNAcentral is "partial contains small subunit ribosomal RNA, internal transcribed spacer 1, and 5.8S ribosomal RNA". The stretch from base 1 to 73 matches the Rfam family "Eukaryotic small subunit ribosomal RNA", at positions 1759 to 1831 of the family's 1831-position model. Lineage: Eukaryota; Fungi. The record is from RNAcentral.
GCAAACUUGGUCAUUUAGAGGAAGUAAAAGUCGUAACAAGGUUUCCGUAGGUGAACCUGCGGAAGGAUCAUUAAUGAAUUUAAACUUGGCAGAUUAACGGCUGGCUUUCGAGCACUUGUGCAGUGUCUGUCAUUUUUAUAUAUCCACCUGUGCACCUUUUGUAGACCACUAGACAUGAAAUUUGGGGUUGGAUUUUUCCAAUGACUUUUCAUUGGGUUUGAGGAUUGCUUUGCCAUUCCUUGUGAAGUAGUGUCUAGUGUCUAUGUUUAUUUCAUUAUACACCAUGAUAAUUGUGAAUGUAUGUGGGCAUUAAUAAUAAAAAGUUUAUACAACUUUCAGCAACGGAUCUCUUGGCUCUCGCAUCGAUGAAGAACGCAGC